AGCAGCCGCGGUAAUUCCAGCUCCAAUAGCGUAUAUUAAAGUUGUUGCAGUUAAAAAGCUCGUAGUUGAAUUUCGGGAUCAGUAGGUUGGUCGUGCCACCGGUACGUACUGGUCUCACUGAUUCCUCCUUCCUGAAGAACCGUAAUGCCAUUAAUUUGGUGUUGCGGGGAAACAGGACUGUUACUUUGAAAAAUUAGAGUGUUUAAAGCAGGCUAACGCUUGAAUACAUUAGCAUGGAAUAAUGAAAUAGGACGAUCGAUCCUAUUUUGUUGGUUUCUAGGAUUGACGUAAUGAUUAAUAGGGAUAGUUGGGGGCAUUAGUAUUCAAUUGUCAGAGGUGAAAUUCUUGGAUUUAUUGAAGACUAACUACUGCGAAAGCAUUUGCCAAGGAUGUUUUCAUUAAUCAAGAACGAAAGUUAGGGGAUCGAAGACGAUCAGAUACCGUCGUAGU
RNAcentral lists this ribosomal RNA (450 nucleotides) under uncultured Glomus. RNAcentral's name for it is "SSU rRNA". It matches the Rfam family "Eukaryotic small subunit ribosomal RNA", at positions 569 to 1024 of the family's 1831-position model. Lineage: Eukaryota; Fungi; Glomeromycota; Glomeromycetes; Glomerales; Glomeraceae. The record is from RNAcentral.